Molecule: signal recognition particle RNA, 97 nt
Filed under: Pseudomonadales bacterium
Lineage: Bacteria; Pseudomonadati; Pseudomonadota; Gammaproteobacteria; Pseudomonadales
Also listed under: 4 other names
Description: signal recognition particle sRNA small type
Rfam family: Bacterial small signal recognition particle RNA
About the family: The signal recognition particle (SRP) is a universally conserved ribonucleoprotein involved in the co-translational targeting of proteins to membranes. Archaeal SRP consists of a 7S RNA and homologues of the eukaryotic SRP19 and SRP54 proteins.
Source: RNAcentral
UAUUGGUCCCCUCGCAACGAUAACCUGUGAACCCCGCCAGGCCCGGAAGGGAGCAACGGUAGCAGGCGACUCGUGUGCCGGGGUGUGGCUGAUAGAG